This is a long non-coding RNA of Sinocyclocheilus anshuiensis, 1732 nucleotides long. RefSeq lists it as uncharacterized. The transcript has 2 exons. The record is from RefSeq and is a predicted model, not a curated record. Lineage: Eukaryota; Metazoa; Chordata; Actinopteri; Cypriniformes; Cyprinidae.
CAAAAUUAGACUUUUAUUGGUCAUUUGGGCUGCAAUGGGUCAUAAUAUCAACAAGUAAUUGCAAACAGAGCCCACAGAACUCAGGACAGCCAUCAUUCAUUAAAAAGCUGUUAAUCAUCUUAUGGCUGAGCCUCAUGAGUGGACUGGCCUUGUUCUUCCAUCCUGUUCUUUCAAUUGGCCCUCUGACGGCAUCCAGUGAUACACACACACGCACACACCAAUACGGUUCUCUAACAGGCAGAGACGAUUAUGAUGAGGGCUUCGGUCCACCUUUACAGUUUAGCUCAAACAUGAAGAUCCCGAAGGAUCGUGCAUUUAGGAGUAUGGCCUCAAACGUCAGUUGAUCCAUGAGAGUGGCCCGGGGGAGAAGACAAUGGAAAUGCAGAACGUAGCAGAGAAGAACAAAGGAAGCGGAAGGUCAACACGGAAUCCUUGACGAAGGACGUCAAGCCAUGAAAUCAGAGAACGGACAAAUGGAAGGUCAUUAACUGGGCCGAAAGGGCGAAACCAAAAAGGAAUGUUACACAUUACGUAAGGGGAGGAAUGAAUGAAAACAACGGGUAUCUGGACCAAACUUCUGUCUCACUUAUUCGCUUUAGUCUCCAUUGAGGUGGGCAUUUCUUUAUUUGUGUGUAAAUAAAUUUCAGAAAGACUGUUUUAUACGGAAAAGAUAAAAACAUGCAAAAAUCCUUUUGUCUGUAGUCCAAAUUAUACAUAUACAAGUUCUUCACGCCCUGUUCUUCUUCGUAGACUACAUCAAAAGAGGAGAAACAAAACAAAAACUAUGUACACACCAUUUAAUUUACAGUGGAGUAAAGAAUGAAAGAAUACCAGGCAUGAAAGAAUACCAGGAUGACUAAGGCAGAUGGCAGAUGAAAAAAAAAACAAAAAAAACCCUUUUCAUUUACAAAAUACUAAAUCACUUCAAAAAAACUGCAGAGAGAGAGAGAGAGAGAAAAAUAAAUGAACAAAACAAAAAGUUCUGCUACCAAAUAAUAACGCUCGUCUCCCAUUUUGCAACCGGCUGCAUAAGUUAACGUUUUGGUGGAAAAAUGGUGAAUAUAUAUGUAAAAAAAAUUGAAAACGCAACAAAAACGAGAAACUGAAAUCUAGUUUCUAGCAUACUGUACAAAGCUGUUCUCUCUGUCUAGACGCUCUCACUCUUCCAAAGUCUUUGUUUUCAUACGUGACGUGAACGAACAGCGUGAUGGUGAGAAACGCAAACAGAAGCGUGUAGAAGCAUCAACGUUAUAAACAGGCUCACGACAAAAAAACACUCCAAAACUCUGAGCCACCAAAGCCAUUGAACAGAAAAACAACAUAAUCAGAUCAAAUGAACAAAGAACGAAAAAGAAAGGAAAAAGUAAAAAAAAAAAAAAAUGUACAAAAAGGCACGUAAUAUCCCAGUGCUUCUGUACUGUGAGAUUCAAGUGUAACUUAGCAUUCAUUUAACGUUCUUUAAGCGUUCCUUCAUACGUUUCGUACUGAUGAUCCUUCAAACUUAGGGCGAAAAAAUCCUGGACUGAACCAAAACUAGGCAGAUUUCCUUCAUUAGACCCCCUCCGUCUACAACAGAGGGCCUUGGAGAGACCUGGUUUUGUUGCCAUGGUGAUCUUCCUUCCACUUUCUUGUCUCUUCGUUUCUCAGUCUUCAUUCUCUGUCUCUCUAGGGUAUAUUGGUUUCUUCAUUGUUUUGAUUCUGCACACUGUCCACGUCCCGCGAUAAAAAAAAA